Molecule: ribosomal RNA, 245 nt
Filed under: uncultured Pseudomonas sp.
Lineage: Bacteria; Pseudomonadati; Pseudomonadota; Gammaproteobacteria; Pseudomonadales; Pseudomonadaceae
Description: partial 16S ribosomal RNA
Rfam family: Bacterial small subunit ribosomal RNA
Source: RNAcentral
UACCGAGGGUGCAAGCGUUAAUCGGAAUUACUGGGCGUAAAGCGCGCGUAGGUGGUUUGUUAAGUUGAAUGUGAAAUCCCCGGGCUCAACCUGGGAACUGCAUCCAAAACUGGCAAGCUAGAGUAUGGUAGAGGGUAGUGGAAUUUCCUGUGUAGCGGUGAAAUGCGUAGAUAUAGGAAGGAACACCAGUGGCGAAGGCGACUACCUGGACUGAUACUGACACUGAGGUGCGAAAGCGUGGGGAG